Molecule: ribosomal RNA, 402 nt
Filed under: uncultured Blastocatella sp.
Lineage: Bacteria; Pseudomonadati; Acidobacteriota; Blastocatellia; Blastocatellales; Blastocatellaceae
Description: bacterial SSU rRNA
Rfam family: Bacterial small subunit ribosomal RNA
Source: RNAcentral
AGUCGGGAAUUUUGGGCAAUGGGCGAAAGCCUGACCCAGCAACGCCGCGUGAAGGAUGAAGUAUUUCGGUAUGUAAACUUCGAAAGAAUGGGAAGAAUAAAUGACGGUACCAUUUAUAAGGUCCGGCUAACUACGUGCCAGCAGCCGCGGUAAUACGUAGGGACCAAGCGUUGUUCGGAUUUACUGGGCGUAAAGGGCGCGUAGGCGGCUUUGUAAGUCACUUGUGAAAUCUCCGGGCUUAACUCGGAACGGCCAAGUGAUACUGCAAAGCUAGAGUGCAGAAGGGGCAAUCGGAAUUCUUGGUGUAGCGGUGAAAUGCGUAGAUAUCAAGAGGAACACCUGAGGUGAAGACGGGUUGCUGGGCUGACACUGACGCUGAGGCGCGAAAGCCAGGGGAGCAAA